AACUCCUGACCUCAGGUGAUCCGCCCGCCCUGGCCUCCCAAAAUGCUGGGAUUAUAGGUGUGAGCCACCAUGCCCACCCCAUAUAUAUAUUUUCUAAUAUUAUCCUUCCUUCUCUGGUGUAAACCAAGUGGAACAGUGGGCACCAAAACACAGUGCACGGCCUAUCCCUUUCAUUGACGGAGGGGUGGAGAGCAAGUCACUUCUGUGCUAUAGCUGGGGAGAUAAAACAGAGAAGACCAAGAGAUCUCAGGGCAGGCAGGCCUGGAAGCCUAUUGAGGAGCAACAGUAAUUAUACUCAUAUCAUUAAUAUUAUGUAUUGAGUUCUUCCUACACAUAAUGCUAAGUGCUUUACAGAUCUGAUUGCUCAAACAGCCCUGUGAGGUGGGCAUCCUUAUCUCCAGUGUACAGAGGAGAAUCUGAGGCUCAAAGAGGCUGAAUCAUGGCCCCACAUUAGAACGAUCCUGCCUGGAUCUCCAGCCCAGCUGUCAGGCUACGCAAAAGGCCUCCAAAAGAGAGCAGGGGCUUUGUGUUUGCACGUGGAUUAGCACAGCUCACCAGGAUCAGAGGCCAAGGAGUCUCUGGCAGGAAUUAGGCCAUCCUCCACCUACCAGCAGGUAUUCCCAGGAAACCAUUGAGGAAGCAGGAGACAGCCAGGCCAGGCCGGCCCAUCAAAGGGCAGACAUGCUAGGGUCUCUGUUCUUUGGUAGGCACAAGCAAAGCGAGCCUGUCACCUGCUGACUUAGAGGAGAAACGGAGAGAGGAACCCAGAUAGCGUGGAGGCUGCAGUGGAUCCACUCAGUGGGGGAUACGUGUCUCUCCAAGGGGGCUGCAGCUGGAAGGGGCCACAGCACAGAGGAGAGUGCUGCAUUUCUGUGUGAUGAGCUUGAAGCAGGCAUCCACAGAGAUUUGUACUAGAGGCACCUGAAGAUGCAGACAGGGAACUGGGACACAGGUUUCCAUGAUAAUGAGGAUGGAUGAGGCUGUUUCUUCCCGCCCAAGUCUAGUCCCCUCCACCUCCCACCAUUUGGCCUCGGAGGACCAGCUUCCUGAAAAUAAUUUCUGAACAGACCCUGACCCACUCUUUCUUAGUCCUUGCCUUCAAGAAUGUGGGGACCCUCUGUGUCGGGCCAGAGUCUACAGUGGCGGAUGUUGUGUUUUGUUGCUCCAGGAACGGGGCUGCAUGUGGAAGCCCUUGCUGGUUUCUGUGUGGAGCGGUUUACCGCAAAGUUAGCUCUUACCUCCCAUGCUCAAAGACGAUUGACCAGCUUGAAGUGGACUGAUGAACAUUUAACCUCUUAAUAGUCUCCAGACAGACCACGGGUUUUCCCUGAAUACCUGGCACACGGGGAAUGUGCUGUGAAAUUUGCGGAGUGAGUGAGUGGACAAGUGAAAGCAUGGUCUCCUUCGACUUCCAGCUUGAAAGGUAAAUCACACCGUGCAGAUGUUAUCAAGAUAUGAAGUGCCUUAUAAAUAUGACAGGGGCUUCAGAAAAAGAAUGUGAGCUAUGCAGAGAAGCCAACAAGGAAUGUGUUCACCUCUCAGCCUCAACCCAUGGGUCAGAAAAAGACAUCCCUGGAAUUGGAGCUUUGAAAGCAGAAGAUAAACAUGAUGGAUAUCAGAGAACUUCAAAGAGAGCAAGGAUCAGGUUCCAGGAGACCAGGAUUGUUAGGCUGAGCAGCUGGAGAGCCCUGCAGGGCUGGUGAACUCUGGGGGGUGGUGGAGGGGACUCACAUUCUGAGCACCUUUCCUGUGCUUCUCACUCACUUGCUCAGGUUUUCACAACAGUGGAAAGUGAUGCUUAGAAGGGGAAUUACCUGCUCAAGGAUGCAGAGCGGGUAGCUGAGCAGGAGCCCAGCCCCGGCAGGGCGGACUUUCCACUCUGCCAGGAAAUACGCCAGAGGAGUCUGAACUCCGCCAUCUUGAAAUCUUAAAGCAACUGAAAUCUUAAAGCGACUGAAGUCUUAAAGCAACUGAAAUCUAAAAGCGACUGAAACUUUAAAGCAACUGAAAUCUAAAAGCGACUGAAAUCUUGGAAGCUCUGUUCGUCCUGAGUGUCUCCUGUGGGAACAAAUCAAAGGCUGAGGCAGGGAGAAGCUCCGGCUGCAGCCCUGCCAGCCACUUCUCCAGGCCUAGGACAGAGGGGUCUCUGGGGACUGCACUGAGCCCCGCCACCUCACACCACCAUCCCGGGCUCCUCAGGCUGUGGCUUCCACUGCUUGCCCUAAAAUUCCCCGCAGGUCCACUGCAUUCUAGAGAACCGGGCUCUGUGCUGGGGCCAACACAGGUUCUCCUGCCUCUGACAUUUGAACGCCCUGCCCUGGACCUAUGGACCCCGCCCAAGCCCUCAUGAGGAAUUUGACCCCAUCCUUUAGUGCCCAGCUCAAAACCCAGUUCCCUUAGCAGACCCGGUGACCCUCGGGUCCUCGGGCCAUGUUGUUUCUGCCUCUUUCUGCUCCCUGCCGUCUAAGAUUAAUCCAUCUGAUUAAUUUCACAUAUAUUUAUUGACUUAAAAAUUAUUAUGUAAUAUUCACUACAUCCUCCUCUAAUGUGGAUCAGUUAGGUUUUUAAUGGGGAUCAGUUAUGUGUUUUGGGCAUCAUGAGGAAGUCAUGGAUUGAAAUGUUUGCUGAGUUGUUAUUUAUUGUGGUAUUGUUUUUAUUAAAGCACAGAUGGUUGUGUUGCAGGCAGGUAGGAGCCCCUUCAAGUUGAUGGCUGAGUCCUUAAGGCUUUACUGUGGUUUUUAUUUUAUCUUACAUUUUAUUUUAUUAUAUUAUUUUAUUUAUUUUAUUUUAUUUUAUUAUUUUGAGAUGGAGUCUAUCUCUAAACAUUAUAAGUUUAGUUCUUCCUAUUCGAGGGGCCUUUUAUAUCAAUGAAGACACACAGAAUGACUUUUUUGUGUGUUCUUUCACUUACGUUUUUGGGAAAUUCACAACAUGAUUCUAAAAUUACUAUGAAAAUGGACGUGCCAAGAAUAGCAAAACAACCUUGAAGAACAACGUUGGAGGACUUCAUGUCACUUCCCAUAGAGCUUUGGCAAUAAAGACUGCGUGUGCUGUCUUCCAUUGUAUGGAUACGCUGCGAUGUAUUCAUCCAUUGUGGGGUUGGUGGACGUUUGUAUUGUUGCCAGCUGGUGGCGUUCGUGAAUAAUGCUGCUAUACACAUGCUUGUGUCCAUCUCUUGUAACAUCUGUGCAAGCAUUUCUUUGGGGUAUAUGCCUAAAAGGGAAAUUAGAGGUAGGUGGUUGCAGGUAGAGUGACCACACAUUCUCUUUGAUCCAGAGAGCCCAAGUUUAUGUUUUUGAUCAUGUAUCAGCGUAAUAUAUUGUCUUAUAUGAAUAUCCAAUUGUUUUGGAAUAAUUUACUGUGAAGAUGACCAUUUUCCCAGUGCUCUAGAACGCCAUCUUUGUCAUGAGUUAAGUGUUCAUAUACGCUGCUUCCCCUAUUGUCUCCACCUGAAAAAACUCUGAAUUCAUUUGCCAGGUUGAAUGACCACACCUUAUGGAAAUGUUUACUCUCCCCCUUCUAGGUGUCUCUCUAAGAGUUCAUGCCCUCCACCACUUGUCACAGGAAAGGGACUGUUGUUUUGGCCAGAUUGUAGGGUCCUUAAGUUAUGCCUUAUUUAUUCUUCCUUC
This is a long non-coding RNA of Piliocolobus tephrosceles (Ugandan red Colobus), 3629 nucleotides long. RefSeq lists it as uncharacterized. The record is from RefSeq and is a predicted model, not a curated record. The transcript has 3 exons. Lineage: Eukaryota; Metazoa; Chordata; Mammalia; Primates; Cercopithecidae.